GAAAAGAGAGCGGAUGAACUGAGGGUAGCGGAGAAAUUCCAAUCGAACCUGGAGAUAGCUGGUUCUCUCCGAAAUAGCUUUAGGGCUAGCCUCAAGUGAUGAUUAUUGGAGGUAGAGCACUGUUUGGACGAGGGGCCCCUCUCGGGUUACCGAAUUCAGACAAACUCCGAAUGCCAAUUAAUUUAACUUGGGAGUCAGAACAUGGG
This 206-nucleotide ribosomal RNA is filed under the name Streptomyces malaysiensis subsp. malaysiensis. RNAcentral describes it as "partial 23S ribosomal RNA". It matches the Rfam family "Bacterial large subunit ribosomal RNA", at positions 791 to 995 of the family's 2925-position model. Lineage: Bacteria; Bacillati; Actinomycetota; Actinomycetes; Kitasatosporales; Streptomycetaceae. The record is from RNAcentral.